Molecule: ribosomal RNA, 442 nt
Filed under: uncultured bacterium
Lineage: Bacteria
Description: partial 16S ribosomal RNA
Rfam family: Bacterial small subunit ribosomal RNA
Source: RNAcentral
GGUGAACGCUGGCGGCGUGCCUUAUACAUGCAAGUCGAGUGGGUUUAGACCCACGGCAAACGGGUGAGUAACCCGUAGGUACUUUCCUUGUCACAGGAAUAACCCUCCGAAAGGAGGGCUAAUACCUGAUGUGAUCGCAAGAUUAAAGGGUAUCCGCAAGGAUUACCGGACAAGAAGAGGCCUGCGGCCUAUCAGCUAGUUGGCGGGGUAAAUGCCCACCAAGGCUAUGACGGGUAGCUGGUCUUAUGAGGAUGAUCAGUCACAUGGGCACUGAGACACGGGCCCAACUCCUACGGGAGGCAGCAGUAGGGAAUUUUGCGCAAUGGGCGAAAGCCUGACGCAGCGACGCCGCGUGCGGGAUGAAGGCCUUCGGGUCGUAAACCGCUUUUAUAAGGGACGAACUUUGACGGUACCUGAUGAAUAAGAGGUUGCUAACUCUGUG